Small nuclear RNA from Nannospalax galili (Upper Galilee mountains blind mole rat), 167 nucleotides. Its record names the gene U1. It matches the Rfam family "U1 spliceosomal RNA". Rfam says of the family: U1 is a small nuclear RNA (snRNA) component of the spliceosome (involved in pre-mRNA splicing). Lineage: Eukaryota; Metazoa; Chordata; Mammalia; Rodentia; Spalacidae. The record is from Ensembl.
AUACCACCUGGCAGGGGAGACACCAUGAUCAGGAAGGUGGUUUUCCCAUGGUGAGGCAUUUCCAUUGCAAUUGGGAAUGUCCUGACCUCCCAGUUUCCCCAAAUGCAGGAAACUCGACUGCGUACUUACUUUCUGGUAGUAGGGGACAAAGUUUGCACUGUUCCCUG